UACCAGCACCCCGAGUGGUCGGGACGAUUAUUGGGCCUAAAGCAUCCGUAGCCGGUUCUACAAGUCUUCCGUUAAAUCCACCUGCUUAACAGAUGGGCUGCGGAGGAUACUAUAGAGCUAGGAGGCGGGAGAGGCAAGCGGUACUUAGUGGGUAGGGGUAAAAUCCAUUGAUCUACUGAAGACCACCAGUGGCGAAGGCGGUUUGCCAGAACGCGCUCGACGGUGAGGGAUGAAAGCUGGGGGAGCAAACCGG
Molecule: ribosomal RNA, 253 nt
Filed under: uncultured bacterium
Lineage: Bacteria
Description: partial 16S ribosomal RNA
Rfam family: Archaeal small subunit ribosomal RNA
Source: RNAcentral